This 216-nucleotide ribosomal RNA is filed under the name Triticum aestivum (bread wheat). RNAcentral's name for it is "partial small subunit ribosomal RNA". Lineage: Eukaryota; Viridiplantae; Streptophyta; Magnoliopsida; Poales; Poaceae. The record is from RNAcentral.
AUGUUCUUUGGAAAAAUUGACAAGCAGCCUCAAAAUCACCCCCCCCCCCUCGUUUCCCCGUGGCAGCCAGUCGACCCGGGGAGGUUUUCUUCCCCGCCUCCAGCAACCACAGCCACCGCCGCCUCCCGGCUCUGUUCGGCACAACCAGGGCCUCCCCCUCUCCACUCUCUUCACCAGGAAUCCCCUCUCCCUCUCGUGAGUCCAUCCCCCUGCUGA